RNAcentral lists this ribosomal RNA (501 nucleotides) under uncultured bacterium. Its description in RNAcentral is "partial 16S ribosomal RNA". It matches the Rfam family "Bacterial small subunit ribosomal RNA", at positions 30 to 523 of the family's 1533-position model. The record is from RNAcentral.
AUUGAACGCUGGCGGCAGGCUUAACACAUGCAAGUCGAGCGGAGAUGAGGUGCUUGCACCUUAUCUUAGCGGCGGACGGGUGAGUAAUGCUUAGGAAUCUGCCUAUUAGUGGGGGACAACAUUCCGAAAGGAAUGCUAAUACCGCAUACGUCCUACGGGAGAAAGCAGGGGAUCUCCGGACCUUGCGCUAAUAGAUGAGCCUAAGUCGGAUUAGCUAGUUGGUGGGGUAAAGGCCUACCAAGGCAACGAUCUGUAGCGGGUCUGAGAGGAUGAUCCGCCACACUGGGACUGAGACACGGCCCAGACUCCUACUGGAGGCAGCAGUGGGGAAUAUUGGACAAUGGGGGAAACCCUGAUCCAGCCAUGCCGCGUGUGUGAAGAAGGCCUUAUGGUUGUAAAGCACUUUAAGCGAGGAGGAGGCUACUGAGACUAAUACUCUUGGAUAGUGGACGUUACUCGCAGAAUAAGCACCGGCUAACUCUGUGCCAGCCGCCGCCGUAA